CUACGGGGGGCAGCAGUGGGGGAAUAUUGGACAAUGGGGGAAACCCUGAUCCAGCAAUGCCGCGUGUGUGAAGAAGGCCUGCGGGUUGUAAAGCACUUUCGGUUGGGAGGACUGCUUCUAGCACUAAUAUUGUUGGAAGUUGACGUUACCUUCAGAAGAAGCACCGGCUAACUCCGUGCCAGCAGCCGCGGUAAUACGGGGGUGCAAGCGUUAAUCGGAAUUACUGGGCGUAAAGCGCGCGUAGGCGGCUAGAUCAGUCGGGUGUGAAAGCCCCGGGCUUAACCUGGGAACUGCAUCCGAUACUGUCUAGCUUGAGUACAGGAGAGGAGAGUGGAAUUCCACAUGUAGCGGUGAAAUGCGUAGAUAUGUGGAGGAACACCAAUGACGAAGGCAGCUCUCUGGCCUGAUACUGACGCUGAGGUGCGAAAGCGUGGGGAGCAAACAGGAUUAGAUACCCCUGUAGUC
This 465-nucleotide ribosomal RNA is filed under the name uncultured bacterium. Its description in RNAcentral is "partial 16S ribosomal RNA". It matches the Rfam family "Bacterial small subunit ribosomal RNA", at positions 339 to 795 of the family's 1533-position model. The record is from RNAcentral.